This 478-nucleotide ribosomal RNA is filed under the name uncultured bacterium. RNAcentral's name for it is "partial 16S ribosomal RNA". It matches the Rfam family "Bacterial small subunit ribosomal RNA", at positions 28 to 523 of the family's 1533-position model. The record is from RNAcentral.
GACGAACGCUGGCGGCGUGCUUAACACAUGCAAGUCGAACGGUAAGGCCCUUCGGGGUACACGAGUGGCGAACGGGUGAGUAACACGUGGGUGAUCUGCCCUGCACUUCGGGAUAAGCCUGGGAAACUGGGUCUAAUACCGGAUAGGACUCCGGACUGCAUGGUCUGGGGUGGAAAGCUUUUGCGGUGUGGGAUGGGCCCGCGGCCUAUCAGCUUGUUGGUGGGGUGAUGGCCUACCAAGGCGACGACGGGUAGCCGGCCUGAGCGGGUGACCGGCCACGGUGGGACCGAGAUGCGGCCCGGAGUCCUACGGGAGGCGGGAGUGGGGAAUAUUGCACAAUGGGCGCAAGCCUGAUGCAGCGACGCCGCGUGAGGGAUGACGGCCUUCGGGUUGUAAACCUCUUUCAGCAUCGACGAAGCGAAAGUGACGGUAGGUGCAGAAGAAGGACCGGCCAACUACGUGCCAGCAGCCGCCGUAA